ACGCUGGCGGCAUGCCUUACACAUGCAAGUCGAACGGUAACAGGUCUUCGGAUGCUGACGAGUGGCGAACGGGUGAGUAAUACAUCGGAACGUGCCCAGUAAUGGGGGAUAGCUCGGCGAAAGCCGGAUUAAUACCGCAUACGCCCUGAGGGGGAAAGUGGGGGACCGCAAGGCCUCACGUUAUUGGAGCGGCCGAUGGCUGAUUAGCUAGUUGGUAGGGUAAAGGCCUACCAAGGCGACGAUCAGUAGCUGGUCUGAGAGGACGAUCAGCCACACUGGGACUGAGACACGGCCCAGACUCCUACGGGAGGCAGCAGUGGGGAAUUUUGGACAAUGGGGGAAACCCUGAUCCAGCAAUGCCGCGUGUGCGAAGAAGGCCUUCGGGUUGUAAAGCACUUUUGUCAGGGAAGAAAUCCUUUGGGCUAAUACCCUAGGGGGAUGACGGUACCUGAAGAAUAAGCACCGGCUAACUACGUGCCAGCAGCCGCGGUAAUACGUAGGGUGCAAGCGUUAAUCGGAAUUACUGGGCGUAAAGCGUGCGCAGGCGGUUGUGUAAGACAGGUGUGAAAUCCCCGGGCUUAACCUGGGAAUUGCAUUUGUGACUGCACGACUAGAGUGUGUCAGAGGGGGGUGGAAUUCCACGUGUAGCAGUGAAAUGCGUAGAUAUGUGGAGGAACACCAAUGGCGAAGGCAGCCCCCUGGGAUAACACUGACGCUCAUGCACGAUAGCGUGGGGAGCAAACAGGAUUAGAUACCCUGGUAGUCCACGCCCUAAACGAUGUCAACUAGUUGUUGGGGAUUUACUUCCUUGGUAACGUAGCUAACGCGUGAAGUUGACCGCCUGGGGGAAGUAGGGACCGCAAGGUUAAAACUCCAAGGAAAUGGACGGGGAACCCGCACAAGCGGUGGAUGAUGUGGAAUUAAUUCAAUUGCACCGCGAAAAAACCUUACCUUACCCUUGACAGGGCAGGAACUUUCCAGAGAUGGAUUGGUGCUCGAAAGAGGACCUGCACACAGGUGCUGCAUGGCUGUCGUCAGCUCGUGUCGUGAGAUGUUGGGUUAAGUCCCGCAACGAGCGCAACCCUUGUCAUUAGUUGCUAGGAAAGGGCACUCUAAUGAGACUGCCGGUGACAAACCGGAGGAAGGUGGGGAUGACGUCAAGUCCUCAUGGCCCUUAUGGGUAGGGCUUCACACGUCAUACAGUGAUCGGUACAGAGGGUUGCCAAGCCGCGAGGUGGAGCCAAUCCCAGAAAACCGAUCGUAGUCCGGAUCGCAGUCUACAACUCGACUGCGUGAAGUGGGAAUCGCUAGUAAUCGCGGAUCAGAAUGCCGCGGUGAAUACGUUCCCGGGUCUGGUACACACCGCCCGUCACACCAUGGGAGUGGGUUCUACCAGAAGUGGAUAGUCUAACCGCAAGGAGGACGGUCACCACGGU
RNAcentral lists this ribosomal RNA (1436 nucleotides) under uncultured organism. Its description in RNAcentral is "SSU rRNA". It matches the Rfam family "Bacterial small subunit ribosomal RNA". The record is from RNAcentral.